This 467-nucleotide ribosomal RNA is filed under the name uncultured bacterium. RNAcentral describes it as "partial 16S ribosomal RNA". It matches the Rfam family "Bacterial small subunit ribosomal RNA", at positions 28 to 507 of the family's 1533-position model. The record is from RNAcentral.
GACGAACGCUGGCGGCGUGCUUAACACAUGCCAGUCGAACGGAAAGGCCCUGCUUUUGUGGGGUGCUCGAGUGGCGAACGGGUGAGUAACACGUGAGUAACCUGCCCUUGACUUUGGGAUAACUUCAGGAAACUGGGGCUAAUACCGGAUAGGAGCUCCUGCUGCAUGGUGGGGGUUGGAAAGUUUCGGCGGUUGGGGAUGGACUCGCGGCUUAUCGGCUUGUUGGUGGGGUAGUGGCUUACCAAGGCUUUGACGGGUAGCCGGCCUGAGAGGGUGACCGGCCACAUUGGGACUGAGAUACGGCCCAGACUCCUACGGGAGGCAGCAGUGGGGAAUAUUGCACAAUGGGCGGAAGCCUGAUGCAGCAACGCCGCGUGCGGGAUGACGGCCUUCGGGUUGUAAACCGCUUUCGCCUGUGACGAAGGGUGGUGACGGUAGUGGUAGAAGAAGCACCGGCUAACUACGUG